AUUGAACGCUGGCGGCAUGCCUUACACAUGCAAGUCGAACGGCAGCGCGGGGCAACCUGGCGGCGAGUGGCGAACGGGUGAGUAAUAUAUCGGAACGUACCCUGGAGUGGGGGAUAACGUAGCGAAGUUACGCUAAUACCGCAUACGAUCUAAGGAUGAAAGCAGGGGACCGCAAGGCCUUGUGCUCCUGGAGCGGCCGAUAUCUGGAUUAGCUAGUUGGUGGGGUAAAGGCCACCAAGGCAUCGAUCAGUAGCUGGUCUGAGAGGACGGACCAGCCACACUGGAACUGAGACACGGUCCAGACUCCUACGGGAGGCAGCAGUGGGGAAUUUUGGACAAUGGGCGAAAGCCUGAUCCAGCAAUGCCGCGUGAGUGAAGAA
This 380-nucleotide ribosomal RNA is filed under the name uncultured bacterium. Its description in RNAcentral is "bacterial SSU rRNA". It matches the Rfam family "Bacterial small subunit ribosomal RNA", at positions 30 to 412 of the family's 1533-position model. The record is from RNAcentral.